RNAcentral lists this long non-coding RNA (2414 nucleotides) under Suricata suricatta (meerkat). Its description in RNAcentral is "lncRNA (ENSSSUG00005018220.1)". The record is from RNAcentral. Lineage: Eukaryota; Metazoa; Chordata; Mammalia; Carnivora; Herpestidae.
CCCGCGCGGGGCGGGGGGCUGCGGAGAAGCUGGGGUGCGGCGCGCGGAAGCCCCGCCACGCUCCGGAACGCGCGGGGAGCAAAGGCGGCGGGGGCGAGGGAGACCCUCCUCGGAUGGGCAGCCGCUGCAAAUUCCGGGGUGCACGGCCACGCGCUGCGGGGCGCUGGCAGCGCGGCGUAGGAUGCACCGAUCCUAGACCCCCCCCACACCUGCGAUGAAAAGGGGGCUGUCAGAGCAGCGGAGGUUAGAAAGAGGAAGGGGUGCGAUGCAGCCUCACCCCCCCCUCAACCUUCUAGAAACAAAAUGAAAAGGGAUGCAAAAAUAGACGGCUGCAAAAGCCGAGCGAGACGCAGGAAAAAUAGGGGUGCAAGGAGGCGAGGGAGGGGUGGGGGAGGGGGCUGCCCCGAAAUCCAAGAUGCAAAGAGCCUGUGGAAAGGGACCGGGUGGCCGCUCAAGGCUCCUCCGCCAAGCGGAGACCGCCACACCAGUGGUGGCUCGGCCGCGGGGGUGGGGCAGGGACGCGCAAUUGGGGGACAGCCAGGGAUGGGGGUCCCCUCGGGCGGAGGCUCCGCUCCUCAGCAGUGCGGGGCCGGCGGUCGUGGCGCGCAGUCUUUAUACUAGGCGGCUGUGGGGGGCCCGCCCCCUUCCCACCCCCAGAAGCCCCGCCUCCUCGCCGCUGGCCCGGGCGACCUCAUACAUAUGCAAAUAUGGAGAGCGGGAUUGGGUCCGCCCCCCUGCCGCCGCUUUAAGACCCGGAGGUCUCUCCCCCCUCCCCCCACUCCAGGUACCAGACUGGAUCAGGUGGAUGGAGGGGCUAGAGGGCGUGUCCGGGCGGAGCAAAGGGAAGGAGAACCCCAGAGAGACGAAGAGCUGGAGAGGGAAGCCGAAGGGGCCCCUGGCCGCCCCGUUGGAGACUGAGAUCCAAAGACGGACAGGGCCAAAUAUCCUGUCGCUGUGACUUGGAGAGGUGUUUCUUCUCCUUCGACUUUCCCCCAGUAUCCUUGGCUCUCAUCCUCACCUGUGCCCCUUCUGACUCUCGGGUUCGCCCUCAAAUUCUCUCCCUCCAGCCCAGCUUCAUGGACUCGGGGUCUGUUCAGACAAAGCCCCUGCUCCUCAGAAUGGCCUUGUGCUUGGUUCAGUGCUCUGCUUUCACCACCUUAUAACUCUUCAUAGUUUUGUCUUUGAACUUGUAAUUUGGGCAUGAAGUCCAGAGGGACAAUGGAGGAUAGUGUGUGAGCCGAGGAGGUACACGGAAUGUGCCACGUGCGUGGGCUCCAGUGGCCCCACCACGCGUGGGGGCUCAGAGAGACUCAGUGAGGACACGGCAAGUGUGUCAUGCGCACAGCUGAGUAACGGGGUGCUGACAGCUGAGAGAGGCCACACUUCACAUUCGAAGCAGAACCUGAACCCUGGAAGGCAACGGCCUUCUGGAAGACGCAGGUGACCAACCGCGUCUGCUGGUGACAAUGAGAAGGAAGGAAAGGGGGACGUUGUUCCGCCCGUAAUUCCGUUUGCUUCCAGUCCUUCUGUGCUCAUCAGUAAGUCGAAGGCAGAAAAAUGUGAAUUUUUCUUUAUAUCGAACAACGUUAACUAGCAAAACCCCAUGAGAAGUCGAGAAAAGAACCACAGAAGGAAGGAAAACAUUUUCUCUUUCAGGACCGUGAACGGUGCUUUUUUCCCCGCUUCCUGACCGAGGUGAUUCCACAUCUUCGUUUGGCACCAUGUCCUGCAACAGUGGGUCCUGCUUCAGUUUUUUCUACAGUCUCUGGAUUAAUUUUCUCCAGAUACAGUUUUAAUUAGGCCACUCCUCACCUCAAAGGUCCUCGCUGGCUUCCGGUUGCCCUGCAGGACGGAGUCCUGAUUCUUUUGUCCAACCCUCAGCGCAUUCCACCGCCUAGACCCAGCCUGCGUCCCCAGCCUCCUUUCCCACUAGGACCUGACUGGUCCUCUGCUGGAGCUGAGCUGGCCACUCCCAGGACGGGCUGUGCUCCCUCACUCCUGACUUCACACCUUUGUCCAUUCCAUUCCCUCCUCCUGGAAGGCGGCCCACCCUUCAGAGUCCAGCCCCAACUCCAUUCAUUCACUCAAUGCGUAUCUAAUGAGCAUUUACUUAGAGCCAGGCACUGUUCUGCUCCCUGGGCUCCUGGGACUCUCAUUCCAAUAAACAAUGAAAACAAGCAAACAACUAAAACAAUGUAGUGUAAUAUUAUGCAGAAAAAAUAAAACAGGGUGAUGUGCCAGAAUGCCCCUGGAUGGGCAGGGAGGGCCUUACUGAAGAGCUAACGUUCAGUGUGAGACCCAAGGAACCCAAAGAACCACGGGACCUGAGGAGAAGAAUCUUCCAGGAGGAGGAAAGUCUAAGUGCAAGAGCUGGGCUUCAGUGAGGGGAAGGCAAGGUUAAUGUAGCAAGAGAU